UUUUUUUUUUUUUCAUUUUGUUUCCUUCUUUGUUCUUCUCUCUUUCUCUCUUCCUUCUUGUUACAUUAAAAACACACACACCACCAUUUUCAUGCCCACACCUGCAUUUCACUCUCUCAAAUACCCAUUUCAGCUGAAUAUAUUUGUUUGUUGCUUUUUAACUGAAUAUAUUUGGCUCUCAAAUAUUUCUGGGUUUUGAAUUGUUCUGUGUUCAAUUGUUUCUUCCAUUUUGCUUGACGAUGGUUUGCUUGUACAAGAAGGCACUUGCAGCGAUACGAUGACCUUGGCCACCGCCAAGUUGUUAGGUGAAUUCUCUAUUCCUGCUUUGAAAUAUCUGAAAAGUUAGAAUAUUUGGGUUCUUUUUUAAAGAAAUGGUAUUUUGAUUCUUAAAUGAAGUUGAUAAAAUGGGUGUUCUUUAUUUAUGCGAAAACUCUUCCUUUUAUGGUCUUUUGACUCGUUUUUCCUACGUUUAUGUUAAUGAAUAAUAGGCUAUGAAACUUAUUGGUUUGGUGAGAAAAUGAACUUUUGAUCUUAAGAAAUCUCAAAUUUUCUCUUUCUCAAAUUUUCGGAUGAAAAAUGUUCCAACCAAAGCUAUUGUGUGGGGGUUGCCAAUAGAGACGGGGAAUGAAGUGAGGGAAGUGAAGCGAAGAUGGGUGUUUGUAAAGGGAGAAAAUCUGGGAAAUCAGUUAGGGGAGAAGAGAGAAAGAGAGAAGAAAGAUGGAAAAAAUUAAAAAUAAAAUUAUUUUGAUGACAUCAUCAUGCUUAUGUGGCACACCACAUAAGCUAUUUUGUUAACUUGCCGUUUGACUGAUGGUUAACUAACAGUUUACAGCUAAAAUUAGAUUUAUUUCAGAAAAAAUCAUAACAUUGAAUGUCAAUAAAAAAAAUCAAGGGAACAAAAUCAAAAGCCCCCAAACGUUCAGGGGUUUUUUGCAAUUAUGCCUUGAUAAUAUUUACCCCGACCCACUCCAUGCCAUCCCUAUCCUUAACAGCAUGUUAAGGCAUAGAUCAGCAGCUAUCCUCUGAUAGCCCAAGUUCAAAUAUGCAUCUCCAAGCAAAGCAUCAUGCAAUAAGCCAAUAACCCCACCAAUGAAGUCUUCCUGAAAUUACUUGUAUUAUGAAUAGUAGUCAAAGUAAUUGGAAAAAAUGCAGAUCCUUUCUUUUAGUCAAAGUAAUUGGAAAAAAUGCAGAUCCUUUCUUUGAAAGAUGAGCACUAAAUAUCAAUGACCUAUCACUUAACACAGCUGUAUGCAACUUCUAUAAGACGGCAAGAUUUGGUUUACAACUGUUGGAUCACUAGCAAGUGAAUCAUAUAUAGACCAUAAUCUAAAUUUAUAUUCAAACCAUUAAUAGAUGACCCUGAUAUCUAUGUUGGACAACACCAAACCCAACUGAACACCCACCAUACCACUAUUAAACAUCUUUAUCACACUUGCCUCCCUCUCUGAGCAUCAAGAGCACAUUUUACCAACGCAUAUGACAACCAAUACCAAGAUAACAUCCAAAACCCAGCUGAAACAUAAUAAGAUGUCCUAUAUACCACUUUCUACAGACAACCUGGCAAGGAAAGUAAAAGAAAUAUUACUUGCAUCCUGGUUGCAGUUGUCUUAUAACUAGUCAAUCACAAUAUGCUCCAUGGUAACAUUUCUAGUAGGUUCCAACUCUUACAAUCUAAUCAUAAUGGCCAUAUGAUAUAUUGCUACAAAACAGGCAUCUAUAUAAAGCCAAGGGCAUGGCAAAUUCAUGCCUGGGCUCCUUUCACAAGAAAAGCUAGACCAAAGCGACAUCAAGAAUUCAAAACUUAUUCAUCCAUAGUUCCAAUAACAAGAAGCAUGGUGCAUCAGUCUACCAUUCAUGAAACUAAAAUCCUGACCAAUCAUGACUAUACCUCCUAAACUUCAAAAGAAAGACAGCACUUCAAUUUCCAAUAAUGAUAUUUUCUUUUUGAGAACUAUGGAGAGAGCUUAAUGUCAAAAGCUAAGACAGGAUAUCAGAAAAGCAAUCUCAACCAAUUCCCAUUAUGCAACAAUAAUUAUAUAGUGCAUUAAACCAAGUAAUAGAAUUAAGAAACUAAUAAGAAACUAUUAAUACUCAAUUCCCAGAUACAACCAAAUUUAGACAAUUAACUUCCUUCAAAGCAUAUAUGAUCAGUGCAGACUAGAGAAGGAUUCAAAAAAAAAACGCAUCACUCAUGAGAACAUAGAAAACAUUGAUUCACACUUGAGAAUAGAUGCUGCUCGAUUGAGAAAUAAUCCAUGUCACUUCCAACAAUUGAAAACAACCCAAACAAGGAAAAAAAAACUAAAUUCUUAUCCGAGCCAGCUCAUCUAUGUAUCAAAACUGGAAAUAUUCUCCCUGUAAAAGAAAAAUAAAAGAGCUGGAUAAUCCAAAACAUACUCAUGUAUAACCUCUAAGAAUCAUAGGAACCCAAAACAUAGAAAAAGAGAAAUAUUUACUAUUACUCUUUUUUUUUUCCCCACAUUCCAAUUUAAGCUGAAGCCUUCAAGUUAGGGCACUCCCUCGCAAAAUGCCCUGCCUCGCCACAUUUAUAACAUUCUGAUCCUUUGUUAUUGCUACAAUCCCUCGCCAAAUGCCCAAACCCUCCACAAUUAAAGCAGCCUCUGCUUCCACCGCCAGCGCCACUGUUUCUAUUGCACUCUCUGGCAAAAUGCCCAAAUUUCCCACAGUUGUAGCACUUCCCAGCCCCACCACCAGCAGACCCGCCGGCAUCUCUCCUACACUCUCUUGCAAAAUGCCCCGCCUCACCGCAAUUAUAACAAGAACCGCCGCCACCACCACUGUUGUAAGCAGAGUUGUUAUAGUUAUCAUUGUUGUCUAAAGAGAUAAGGUUGUUACUGCAAUCCCUGGCGAGAUGAUUCAGAUCCCCGCAGUUAUAACAACCGCCGCUUCCGUUCCUCCGAUCGUUUCCAGCCCUCCAACCGCCGCCGCCAGUGCGACGGUCCUUCUUACUGAUUUGUGAGCCACCAAUUGCGGUGACAUCAACAGCCUGGGUCUUGCCUCCGUUGCCUUGGGAAACAGUGAACUCAACAGAUUCACCCUCAGCGAGGCUACGAUAGCCUUCAGAUUUGAUGGAAGAUUGAUGAACGAAGAGAUCUUCGCCACCAUCGUCGGGAUGAAUAAAGCCGAAACCCUUUUGGUCAUCGAACCAAAGGACCUUGCCGGUGGAUCUUGAUUGCUGUUGUUCCUGCUGUUGCUCAGCCAUGGAAGGUAGUGGCGAUAGUGAUGGGAGAGAAAGUGAGAUGAUUAGAUUUAGGGUUUUGAUUGAGAAAAGAGGAGAAGAGAGGGAUUUAUAGCAAAGGCUGCUCUAAUUGUGGGGGCACCACCGACUUUUUACUCCUCAACUACUUAGGUUUAGAGUUGUAGGUCAUCAUCAUCUUAUUCCUGUCCCUUCUUUAAAUUUAAUAUUCAGUUAUUAUCCUUCAAUUUAUUUCUCAUUCCAACUCUUAAAAGAACUCAACACUCGAUCGUGUUGCAUUCAAUCAAAACUGUCUUUCUUACUCUUUUUUUCUGAUUACUUAAAUAAAUGACUUUUCACAUUUUUUCCUCAUCUUCUUCCUUACUUGACCUAGCCACCACCCAAUUCUAUCCACCAUCAUCAUCAGUCUACUCCGACCCUCUCAACUCUUUCCAAACCCUAACCUAAACCAAAUCUAUAAUCUUCCACAACCAGGGCAAUGCCUAGACUCUUUUUUCGGGAGGUGGAAUUUAAAUUAUAAAAUGUAUGGGAGCUAAAAUGUAAUUUUAUUGGUGUAUUAACUUAUAAUUUUGUUAUUUUUAAUAAGGACCAAAUUAAAAAAUUGUUCUUGGAGGGCCAACAUACAUUUUUACCAUAUUUUAACUUAAAAUUUACAAAUUUUAAAAGGCUUAAACGAAAAUUUUCCUUUUAAAGGGCCCAGAGCUUCUACCAACCCCCUAUUGGGAUCUAGUGUCCUCAGUGUAGUGAUAUCAUCAAAUGCACUUGUAGUUUUUCGAAUGGAUUGGUUUAAAUAAAAAUUUUAUUAUUCGGGUUUUUUACACAAAUAAUACAAAAAAAUUAAAAAAAUACCAAAAUAAUAUAAGCAUUUUAUUAUGUAUCAAAAUGAUACAAACAGUAGUGGAGGGACUGCCACAGGCGACACCAAUGGUGCCAGUGGCAGAGGUUGCACCAAAGGUACCACUGCCACAGCCAGCACCUGUAACACCCCUAAUCCCUUAUCAAUACUAAUUUUAUUUUUCCAAUCUAACUCCAUAUUCUCUCUUAAUUCUUACUAUAAACUUAUUUUAACUCUUCAUUUUCACCAUAAAUCCCUAAUUUCAAAAUUCUCUCAAUUUAAUCCCUACUAUUCUAAACUUAUGUUUUAUUUUACAAAUCAACCCUUUACUAACUUCUAACUUAAAAUUCAAUCAAUUUAAUCCCUAAUUUAUCAAUUAAUCCAACAUGAAUAACAUAUAAAAAUUUACUAACUUUCAAAAUUUCAACUUAAAUCAAGUAAUAUUUUGUUCUAGGAUUCUAAAAAUAUCAAAAUUACAAGAAAAUGGGCUAAAUUAACUUAUCAAUUGAGCUUGGAACUUCAAAACCCCAAUUCUCCUUUUUUUUUCUUUUCUUUCUCCUUUCUCCUUCUCUGUUUAGUUUUUCAAUUCUGUUUCUUUCUCUUUUAUUUCUUGUUUUAUUAUAUAACAAUAUACUUAUUAUUUAAGUAAACAUAAUAUAUAAUAUAUAUUUUAAAUUAAAAAUAUCUUAGAUAUUUCUUUUGUUAUGCCGCCUCAAUUUAGGCUGAUAGCAUAAUUGCCUAUUUAGUCCUUUUAACUUUCUUUAAUCUAUAAUUAAACUUUUAUCUCUAUUGCAAUUUAAUCCUUUUUCAUAAUUAACCUCAAUUUAGACAAAUUCACUUAAUUAAAACCUAAUUAACUACACAACUAACUUCGUAAAUAUUUAUGAUAAAUAUUUAUGAGUCCAAUUUACCGAAAUGGAGUCUCGGGAAUAUUUUUUUUCAAUUUUAUCCUUUUUAAUCAAUUAACCAUCGAAACGUUAAAAUUUCUUAACGGAACUUUAAUACUACCUUAAUGACACUCCGUAAAUAUUUAUAAAAAUAUUUACGACUCAAUUUNNNNNNNNNNNNNNNNNNNNNNNNNNNNNNNNNNNNNNNNNNNNNNNNNNNNNNNNNNNNNNNNNNNNNNNNNNNNNNNNNNNNNNNNNNNNNNNNNNNNNNNNNNNNNNNNNNNNNNNNNNNNNNNNNNNNNNNNNNNNNNNNNNNNNNNNNNNNNNNNNNNNNNNNNNNNNNNNNNNNNNNNNNNNNNNNNNNNNNNNNNNNNNNNNNNNNNNNNNNNNNNNNNNNNNNNNNNNNNNNNNNNNNNNNNNNNNNNNNNNNNNNNNNNNNNNNNNNNNNNNNNNNNNNNNNNNNNNNNNNNNNNNNNNNNNNNNNNNNNNNNNNNNNNNNNNNNNNNNNNNNNNNNNNNNNNNNNNNNNNNNNNNNNNNNNNNNNNNNNNNNNNNNNNNNNNNNNNNNNNNNNNNNNNNNNNNNNNNNNNNNNNNNNNNNNNNNNNNNNNNNNNNNNNNNNNNNNNNNNNNNNNNNNNNNNNNNNNNNNNNNNNNNNNNNNNNNNNNNNNNNNNNNNNNNNNNNNNNNNNNNNNNNNNNNNNNNNNNNNNNNNNNNNNNNNNNNNNNNNNNNNNNNNNNNNNNNNNNNNNNNNNNNNNNNNNNNNNNNNNNNNNNNNNNNNNNNNNNNNNNNNNNNNNNNNNNNNNNNNNNNNNAUUAUUUUCGUAUUUUAUUAUUUUAUAUUAUUUUAGUACAUAAUAUUUGAAAUGUAUUAUUUUAGUGUGUUUUUUUAUAUAAAUUUAGUGAAAAACCCUUAUUUUGGCCAUUUGUUCGUAUUUUUCUUUUUUUCUUGGAUUUUAUUACUUUCAGUAAAUAUACUAUUUUCAUUUUUUAUUUCUUUUCGUAUUUUAUUUUUUUCAUAAACAUAUUUUUCGGUAUUUUAUUUUUAAUACUAUUUUUAUAAAAAAUCAGAAAAUAAUAAAAAUACGAACAAAUGGGGGGUGCCGCCUGUGGCAGUGGCACCUUUGGUGCCGCCUUUGCCACUGGCACCAUUGGUACCGCCUGUGGCGGUCCCUCCACUACUGUUUGUACCAUUUUGGUUCAUAAUUAAAUGCUUGUAUUAUUUUGGUAUUUUUUUAAUUUUUUUGUAUUAUUUGUGUAAAAAACCCUCAUUAUUCACAUCAAUAUCUUUUAGUUCAAAUUCUUCUAUUAGACCUUAUAUUUUUUGUAAAUUGUGGAUUUAGUACCUAUACUUUAAUUUGAUCAAUUUUAGUCCUUGGACUUUUCAAAUUUUGAAAUUUUAGUUCUAACCCAAUGGUAACAAUUAAAUAUGUUUGGUUAAAUUAUGUCGUUAUUCAUGUAAUAUGCAUAAAGUUAUAGAUGUAGUCUCGCUCGCUAAUUAAAUGAUUCUUAGUGGCUUUUUUUUUAAUUUCAAAAUUUAAUUCUUAAUGCAAACGAAAGUCGUUAAAUCUAUUAACUGAUUUUUUGUGAGUAAUAUGGGAAAAUAACAAACAUACAUAACAUUACACAUGUGAUAAUAUGUUUGACACAUCAAAUUUUAAAAAUAACAUAACUUAAUGAAUGUAAUAGUUAUCAACUGGUUAGGACUAAAAUUUUCAAAUUCUAAAAGUACAGGGACUAAAAAUGACCAAAUUAAAGUACAAGUACUAAAUUCACAACUUAUGCAAAGUAUAGGGUUUAAUAGAAAAUUUUGAUCUAUCUUGUAUACAAUGUCCUCAACGGUUUUUUGCACACAAAGCAAAAUGUAAGCAAAUAUUAGUUCAUUGUUUAUCUAACGUUUAACUAAUUUUAAAUUGCAUUGUGUGGUUGAAUCAUAAUGCAGAAAAGAAAUAUUAUAUUAGUAGAUAAUCUAAAUGGUUCAUAGCCUAGUAGAAAUUGAGCAAGUUGAUUAAAAUACUAUUAUGUCAUCUAUCAUGUCCAAUUAGGGACAUACUUUAUCUUAAGUAUCAAAGUGGAUGACUCUCAGAAGAUAUAGAUAUAGAUAUGAUUAUCUAGAUUAAUAGUACAUCGAACAUGACCUAAGUAGAAUAAAUGCUAAAUCUGUUAAUGGACUUAUUCACUUGUGACAUUCAUAGUGUGGCUUACCACAAUCUUUAGUUAUAAGUAACAGGCCAUGCGUGUGUGACUCGUAGACUUUGAUGUAUUAAAAGCUUGAGUUUAAUUGGUAAUAGAGACGAAAUCUGGCAUGUUGGGUAUACGACUUCUACAUAACAUAACUUCACUUAAAAUAGUGGAAUUUAUAGCCCAAUAAAAGGUAAAUGAUAUACUAUUAUAUACAUUACAUGAUAGAUAGAAAAGUAAUGUGACCACUGCUUAUUUCCCUAAGACAAAUGAUUUGGUUACUAUUUGUUAGUAAUUGGCUUUUUCAUGAAAAAAUAUGUAAUGGUUACCAUGAGAUAAGAUAAGAUCAUGUUAGGUGAACGGAUUUAACCCAAAGAGAUUAAAAAUAUCCUAUGAUGGUAACACACAUAGGACAAAGUCAUUAGGCAAGCACAUGAUAAGUUACUUUUGUUAUGGUAUAUAAUAAGGGAGAACUCAAUCAUGGUACUUUAGUGGAAUGAUUCAAUGACUAAAAAUGUCGCAAUUAAUAGACGAAGAGUCGAAAGUUAAUUACAAAUUAUAUGAGCCUUAAUUAUAUAUGUCUAAUCAGUCCCUCUGCUAACUUGGUGCUACUCUGAAUGGUUUGCAAUUGAACUAACAUGAUGAAUAAAAACAAGAAAUUAAAGAAAUAGACCGCAUAUAUCACUAUCCGAGUAAAAGUUUAUUGAUUUCUUUGAAUUAUUAUUUAAUUUAUUGUAAUUUAAGUAUUUGAAAUUCAAAGUGGAAAUUGAAUUAGUUAGUCAUUAAGGUUUUAGUGAAUGACUUGUCAUCAAAUGUAGUAGUUAAUUCAGGUCAUUUCCACACUUAAGGAGCUUGUUUUCUAGUCAAUUUAGUAUUUUAUAUUACAUUUUCGGUAUUUAGGACUUAGGAUUAAAUGUUAGUAAAAUAAAUGUUUUUUAACACAUUUUGUGAGUGUUGUGACCAAAUAGGCCGACACGGGCCUUAGGUAGUACUAAUAUGUUCAAUUGAGUUGUAGGAUGAAGAUUUAAAGACCCAAUUGAUGUGGAAGCCAGGGAAGAGUGAUGCACAAGCUUCCCAAGACUUCAAAGCAUGAAACGAAUGACAAAAUGUGUACUUUACAUGUCUUGUCGCGCUAGGCAAAGGCUAUGGCACGACACAGGUCGACUUGCCACCCAAGAUUGUUGAGGCUAUUUUUGUCAACACAAUCAACCUUAUAUGAAGACCUAGGACGUGUCGAAGACCUAAUAUGGGUUGCCAACACUUUUAUAAAUAAGACAUUAGGGGUUUGAAGUAACUAAGUCACUAUAGAUGCAGUAAAAAAUUAUAUGAGGUAGUUUAAAAAUCAUAUAACACAUACAAUUAAUAUCCAAUACAAGGGACAAGCCCAAAGGCUCAUCUGAUUGCAAAUGAGCAACAACCCUAGUCCUAGAGACUAGGUAUAGUGGCGUGUCACUGCCCCUAAGUAUUCCCAAAAGGGAAUAUCUGUCUUUUUGUAUUAAAAUAAUAUUAUUUAUUUAACACUUGUUCAACUGAGACUUUUGUUUUUCUCUAUAUAUAGAGACCAUUGGCUAGGUCAAACAUGCACCACUUAAGCAUCGAUAGCACCACUUAAGCAUCGAUACUUUGUCAAAAUCUAGUAUGAUUUAUUUUCCUAAAAUAAAGUCUAUAUUUUGAGAGAUUUCAUCUUUUCAGUUUCUAGCCUUUGAGACCUCUAAAUAUUAAUGAAAUUUUCAUUCUUUGCAAUUGGUUUGUGAAAUUAAAGCCCAUACUUUAAAUGGAUCGGAGUUUGAGAUUAGUGGAGAAGAUCGUUUUGGUUAAAAGUUAAGAAACAAAUAGAUUGCCUAACUCAAAGCAUAGAUGCUAAUUUGGUUAUGGUUUAUUACUACAAAUAUCACAACUUCUUGGCUUUAGAAAGUUUCAAUUUUUCAUUGUGCAACAAAAUCAUUUCUAAACCGAAAUUUCCCAACAAUUGGUAUUAAAGCCAGAUUGUGCUAUGUUUAUAGCAUAAAUCGAAUACUGAAUUUCUCUCUCUAUUGCUCUUAUUGUUUGAUUAAAAUUGACAAGAAGUGACAUUCUUAAUUAUUUUCAUGUUUUAGAUUAUAUAUGUAGAUAAACGUAUAGAUAUUAUUUUAUAUUAUGUUAUAGAGUAAUUUUGCCAAAAGGUGUGGUUCCUAACAUUAGAUAGGUUGUAUUUAGGUUUUUUAAUUUUUGGGUUUGUAAUUAGAUCUUGGACUAUCAUAUCCACACAGUUUUUUAAUUUUUAUUUGUGUAUAGUUAGAAAAUUCAUAUGAGUCAAAAACAGACUAGGAUGCUUAUAACCUUAAUUUUUCAGCAGAGCCAAGAAAAGCACAAUGGAUCAAUAACCCAAAUGAAAUCAAAUGGUGAUAUCAUCAAAUUGAACGCAUGGAAGGUUGCGCAAACGAAACGCAUAGGAGGCCGAGGCAUCACGCCCCAACCGGACAUGCAACAUACAAAAGCUGUUGGGGCAUCACACCCCAACAAGUGCGCAAGUUGCCAAGCAUGUAGGGGCAUCACUCCCUUUGUGAGCAUUCGACACACAGGCUAGAAUGAUUAUCAUCCAUACUGAUCAAGGCACCGUGCAGAUAAGGUUGAGGCAUCGCACCUCAACUACGCAGUAGCAACGGGUAAGGCUAGAUGAUCGGUCACGUGAGCAACAAGCUAGAAAAAUUGGGGCUUCGAACCCCAACCAACUAAACAAGUCAAACGGUAUAUGGAGGCCUCGUGCCCUACAGUGUGUAAGAGGCCACAACACCAUCGAUCAAAGAUCACCACGACUAGGACUGGCAGCAGGACAUCGGGGAUGGCGCACAAACGUUGAUGGGAGCCAGGCAAAGGGACUGGCAGUUGAUCGGUUGAACCCACGACUACGGCUAAUGGUAACAAUGGUUGGCGACAUUAGGCAGUUUGGUUCUUGUUUUGUGUUUUUAGAUUCGAGACUACUUUUGACAAACAGUUUUUUUAGGGAAAAGUCAAGGAUGUUUGGCUUAUACCUAAAACACCCAAAUGAUGUUUUGAAAAAAUUAUUGUAAUUUUCAAUUAUUUUAUGUUUCCCUACAAAUGGAAAUUUUUUGUUGGUCGGAAUCAAUUUAAUUCUUUAAUUUUGAUUAUGAUAUGUUGAUAUUAUAUGAGAUUGAAUGUGGUUAAAUUGAAAAGUAUGUUCAUGCAUAUAUGAUAUAAGCUUGCCAUAUAGUUUAGGGAAAAAAUGGCACUUGUACUUAUCUGCAUUUUUAAUUAUUCGUGCUUGAAAAUCAGACAUAAAACCUUGCAUGUUAUUAAAAUAUUGAGUGGGAGAAGGUCUUUAAACAAGACAUAAAACCUGCAUCGAUGGUUUCUAUGUGAUACUAUAAUAAUACUUUAAGUCAGUUUUACUCUGACCUCACCCUACAAUAAGUAUUUUUGGGAAAAAUCUAGUUUACAAAAAAAAAAAAGAAAAAGUUGUUAACUUAGUAUUAGGUACACUGCUAAUGGAAAGAAAAAAUUUCACAAGCAGGGUUGAGAUAAGUGAUAACUCUAAAAUAUUGGAGUUAUUUGUUUUUUUUAUAGUAGGAUUUUAGUUUGUUUUAUAAGUUAUUUUUAGUAGAAUUUAGGAAUUUUCUUUUCUUUAUAUUUAAUUUUUUGUAAGUCACUUAUAUAUUAUUAGUGUUAGUUCAGACUUAUUUUCGAGCAUUUCUUACCUAUUGUAGGUUUGAAAAAGCAUGGAGAAAUGAUAGAUUGAUAUAUGCAAAUAAGGCAGUUUUUUACUCCAACGAAAGAUUUGUCCGUUGGAGUGACACAGUUACCUGAUAAAUUAUAAAUUUUAAGGGUUGCAAAUUUCUAUGGAAUAUAAAAGAAAAAAAAACCUAAGUUCAAGGAAAGUGUGGAGAAAAAGAGGAGAAGCUACCAAAGCCUUCAAGCAUCAAAGAUUGACGGAAAUAAUUGAGAAGACACAAUUUCUCCAUCUAUUUUCUUUAUUGUUUAUGUUUCUAUGAUUAGUUCUUGUUUUUUUUUCAAUUUUUCCAUGAACUAAAAUUUCUUUUCUAGAAUUGCAAUGAAUUUCAUGUUUAGUUAAUUGAAUAAUUCUCUAUUUCCAUCUGUUUUUGUUCUUGAUAGAGUUUUGAUUAUUUAUUCAUUCUUGCUCUAUAUUGAUAAUAGUCUGGUCAACUAUUAAUCCAACAAAACCUAAAGAAAUUGGAAAAUGGCUUUUUGUUUUAGGUCUAGAAUGAAUAACUCUUGAUCGAAAUUAAAUGGGUCAAAUCUUGAUUCGUAACUAGAAUAGGAAUAUACCUAAAUUACACUGGGUAGCUAUAAUUAGGGUUUGUUCUUAAUCAAAUGGUUUUAAAUUAUUGGUAAAUGAAUAUAACUCAAUAAUUAGGUUAAGUUAAUUAUUUAAUUGCUUGGGAGAGAAUUGAGAGAAAUUUUGUACCCAAGUUAGUAAUUAACUUUAUAGGGAUAAAUUGGGUGUAGAUGGAACAAUUAACUAUGCAUUAGAUGAAAUUGUAAUCCUGAGCUUUUAUUAUUGAUUGAUUAUUCUCAUUUUUAUUUAUUUGAUUUAUAUUGAAAAUUUAUGUUAUCGAUUUAUUUAGAUAAGUUAUAAAGUAAUAGUUGGUGAUCAACAACAUAAUUAGUAAUAACUCUUUGUGGGAAUAAUAUUUUUUAUACUACUUGUCACAAUACGUAUACUUGCGUGUGGAAUAUUCGAUCAACAAUAUGUAUGUGUUUAUUUAUUUUUUUAAUAUUUUUAAUAUAAUUCAAUGGGCAUUUGCCAUUAUCAAACCCUUUCGAAAUUUUUUCUUUUCAAGAUAUAAUAAUUGAUUCAUCGAUUGUGUUUUAAAAUUUGAAAGUGAUGGAGAACGAAAAGUUUUUUUAUUUUCUUGUCAAUAAUUUAUUUUAUCAAUUUAAAUAUAAAAAUUAAAUACAAAACAGUUCAUCAAUAUUUCAUUAAAUAAAAUUAGAUAAUUAAGAAAUUUUAUUUUAAUAAGAGCUUUAAUUUUAGUGGUAAUAAAAAAUUAUUAAAGGCAUAGAUGUGAUUUGUUUUUGAUAUGAUUAUAGGUUAUAAAUAUCCAUUUCCAAUCAAACGUUUUAACUAACAACUAAUUAUCACUUUCAUUUUACUUUUGGAGGAAAAUAUUGGAUAGAACGUAAAUUUAAAGUAACAGUGGGAGUUUGGGUUGAUGUCGAUGUGAUAAAAUGAUAAUUAAAAUUAAAAAAGAACAGAUAUUCUGCUUAUAAUAUUUUUUUAUCUCAUUAUUUUAAUAAAUGUUUAAAAGGGUUAUAGACAUUUAUAACAGCUAGAUAUUUAUAUGAUUUCCUUUGAGAAAAAGGUUAGAUAUGGCAUCAAUCCAUUCUGCACAUCAAAGCUGAAGCAUGGGAUACAUGUCCAGAUUAAGAUUUGUGAGGUUUGGUUAUAAAAUAAAAAUACCAACACACACAAUGCAUUGGAAAUCAUUGUUGGACUGUAGCUGGCUGCUCAGAAAAAUAAAAAAAGAGAGAGGAAGAAUUGGGGUUUGGUUUGUACAUGUAAUCCACAAUCAGUAGACUUCCACAUUCCAUUGCUCAGAUUUCUUCAACUGCCUUUUGUAUUCAAUCCAAUCAAUACCUGAAAAAAAUGUCCGAAGACAGAUUUAGAUUGGAGGUGUAUGUAUGUAUAUAUAAUUCAUGGAGAUUUAUUAAUUAGUGAUCUGGUAAAAGCAUUGGGUUCUGCUUUUUUCCUUUUUUUUUUUUUGGUUACCAUCUGCUGCAGCAAGUGAGACCAUUAUGUCAUCAAUUCCCUUCUCCAUUCCUUUCAACCCACACAUGUAAACAAAGGUGUUAUCUUUCUUCAGUAAUUCCCAUAGCUCUUUUGCAUAUUCAGCCAUUCGGGUCUGAAUGUACAUCUUUUCUCCGUUCUCAUUUGUUUGUUCUCCGCUCACAGCAAAGUCCAGCCUGAAGUUGUCUGGAUACGUCUCCUUCAUUUUCUCAAAUUCCUGUUAUAUAUCAUUUCACUUUUCGUUCAAAGAGGCAAAACCACCAGAUUCCCAGUAUCAGAUGUUUUUCUUUUCCUAGCUUGCAUGCUUACCUCCUUCUACAACAAUGAGCUACUUGUAGGAACACCGAGGAACAGCAAUGCCAAACCAUUGAACUACAAGUUUUUUCAAGUCACUCAUUAGUACAAUAAUCGUAUAUGUUAGCCUUGGUGAGUUAAGUUAAGGCCACAGGUUAUAACAGGCUUCACUGCUUAGCUUAAAAUGGAUGCAUGGAUAUAAAGGUCAUAAUUGUUUCUUUUGUACCUUGUAAUCCUCAUGCCUUUCAAAGAACAUUUUCCAUAAAAAUGAUCGAAAGGGAGCGAUACCAGUUCCUGUAGCAAGCUGCGGUUAAAGUAACUCAGUGUGAAAAUGUUGCUUUGGAGCAGCAGUUUAUCAAUAUAAUGGAAUAUACAAUGAAUGCAUGAUAACAGCUUGGUAAAAUACAAACCAUGAUGAUUGUGGCAUCAGGAUCUUUUGGCUUAAGCAUUUCCUUUCCAAUAGGUCCUGUGAUUUUAACUUCUGCCCCAGGUUUCAUGUCACCUGAAGAUACGAAUAAAACAUAAUUUUAGGUACAAGAGUGACCAAUGCCCGGAGAUAGAGAAGGAGUUGCAGAUAUUAAGAUUCCAACUCCAAAUCUAUUGGAUGCCAUCUUUUAAGAAUGGCCGCAUAAACUAACUUACCAAAGCUCCGGGUUCAUCAUCUUUUGACACCGGUUGUUCUAAACAAUAGUAAUACAUUAUGAUGAAACAUAGAAGUCCUGCAUUCUUACAUAAGAAAUUUGAGCAGACUCCUUUAACAAGUUCUCCUUUCUCGUUGGUGUAUACAAGACGUUUCACACAUAGGGAUACCUGCAAUAAUACAAUGAGACCAGUAAGAAAACCAAAAAUGAAUAAGAAAAUGAAAAAACAAACAGAAACCAGAAGAGCUGAAUGAUAUUUGUUAUGUAGACUUGGGUGGCUCAGAGCCUAUCAGCACUUGAUUUGUAUCUUAAUCUGGAAAGGAAAUUAACUUCUGAAGGAAAACUCACAGUUUUGGAGUCCCCAAAGUCACCAAGAGCACUGCUAGCAAUAGAGUAUAAUCUCAGUUUAUGAGGUUUCCCAUUCUUGUCAACGCCAUCCGGAAUCACUCCAAUGGAUUGUCCUUCUCUGUAAGGAACCUCUCCUGAUCCAAUCCAACUAGCUAGUAACUAAGAAGAAAGAGUCUUUUUUUUUUCCCCUUUAUCUAAUUAAUCAUCUCAAGAACGGCAACUUUUCAUUCCUUGAUCAACGAAAACUCGCAUUGGGCACAUAAAACUCUGUAUCUGCAUUUUUUUAUUUUCACAUAGACAUGCAAGUAUCUUGAAGAAUAUAAUUUGAGACGAAUUGCAUACCCUCAGUGCUGAAGACCAUGUGCCAUGUCUCUCCAGGAGCAUCAUCACCGGUGAUCUUAGUAUUUAGAAGGCACCUGCCAAUGUAAGGUUCCUUUGGCUUGAACUUGUUAACCACAACACCUUCAUCAUUUUUCUUGGAUUCCUUUACAACUUUAGCAGGAGCUUCAGUUGUAACCUGGGCUCGCACUGAAACCACUCUCCCUCCACUUGAAACAUCUGGGUAGUAAAAAGAAACCUGAAAAACAACAACCAAAAAAAGCAGGUGACCUACUCCCAACAUGUAUGAAGUUUUUACAUAUAUUAAUUACAAAAGAAAAGAAAGAAGUUUACCUUCUUGAAUGUGAUUCUUUCAGGAGAGAUGAUAGAGGUUCGAGUAGUAAAAGAGGUGGAGUUGGUAGAAGGAAAGGAGACUGCAGCAGUUACGGCAGCCAUGGGUUUUGGAGAAUGAAGAGGUGAGAAAAAUGUAAUUUGAUGGAUAGUUUGGUGAAGAAGGAAUGAGAUGAGGUGAGGAAAUCUCAGAAGGAUAUGGUUUUGUAUUGGGUUUGGAUCAUGAAUUGGGUGGAGGAGAUUUGAAGGCCAAUGCAGUGGCCUCUAUAAGGGUAAGUCCAUGUGUACCACCUUAUAUGCAUAAUCACCAUUGAAUUUUUUUUAGAGCAACUCUUGAUUCCAAAUCCAAGGAUAGGGGAUGGCAAUAAGUAAGUUUUGUAAUUAAAUUGGUUUAGUUAUUAAAAUUCAUAACUAAACCGAUUGACUAACUUACAUAUAUUAUUUUUAAUUAUUUAUAAUAUAAUAUAAGUUGAUUAAUCGAUUUUAUCGUCUGAUACUAAAUUAUUUGGAUCAAGACAGUAAAAAUCAAUCGAGGAUGAUUGGUAUAAUUAAACAAAAAAAAUCCAUCCAAAAGCAAAAUGAAAUGGAAGAAGGAACUGGGGACCCAAAGAUGGCGUUGGGUUAACUCAUCUCAGUCCACCAAGGCAAUCCAUGGACAAAUCGCCAUCCCAGAGUACAAGUUGGACGUCGUUUUCAGUAAUGCAAGGAACGACAUUGAAUAUCACAAGCUGGAUCCAUAUAAAAACAACUUUUAAUGAAUAUAUAAAUAUAUAACUUUCCUGGUUGCAUAGUAUCAUCGAAUCUGUCUCUAUUAAAUUUAUUUUUCGUGUACUUUUACUAAAAGCAAAAAAUAGAAAAGCAGAAAUAACAAGCAUACUUAUCCCUAAACCAGGGCCUACAUGACCUGUUUUAGGCUUCAAGCUUGAUGGGUAGAAAUCUGCUUAAUUUUUUAUUAAUUUCAGCUAAUAAAAAACGUGGGGUUUCUUAUUAUUCUUACCACAUUUCGCUGUAAUACGAGGCAUAAACCCAGUCUUCUCCUGUGGGUGGAUUUUGACAAGUCUAUUGUUUUUUCUCUACUUGAAAUUGUUAAUUACAUUUUGGAACAGGGCAGUUUUGACCAAGAAAAGUUCAUGAUAAGCUGCUGAUAAACAACUGGGUAAGAGGUAUAAAUGCAUGCAGUCAGAUUCUGCCUCUGCAUUAAAAAUACAUGGCAGAAUCUGAGUCACCUUCCAUGUGAGUGGCAGCCUAGAUAGGUCAUUUCUCGUUUCGUGACGAAAUCAGAUGACAUAAUCCAGAAAAAGUAGUGGUAAGUUAAAAGAGCUGGUUCUGACAGAGCCCAAGCCCCGCAUAUCAGAGGUCGAAUCAUUCUUUUACGGUGGUUAGAAGAUAGACACCCCCAUUAAAAUUUCAGACCAAAAAAUUGAAAUGAAUGACCUGCUACAUAUCACGGAACUUCUUUCUACCCUUACAACAGCCAUGCAACUCAAGGCAAUACAAUUCUGCAUAUGACUGAAAAAUACUUCAUGGAAGAACAGUUCUAGCUGUAUGUACAGUUGUCCCAAACAAUAAAUCACAAUGGAAAAGCGAUUGAAUCAAUGGAAUCCCCUUGAACCUCUAGACUGAUAGAGCUCCAAUCUACUUUUGGCUUCAUGUAGAAGUGUGUCCACUGUUUCAUCCUGGGUCAUGUUGGAUUGCUUGGAUGCCCAUUCCAGCACUGUCAGCACUUCAGCUUGGGCGAGUUCUUCGCUAUCCGGUACAUGGAGGGCAAUGUAACAUAGGAGAAGUAAUGCUGAGUGCUGCACAAUUUGUUCCCCAAAAUACACUAGUUGAAUCAAAUGCUUUGCACCUCCCGCACUAAUGAUUGCCUUGGAGUGAUCAAGGUGUAGAUAGUUGUUGGUGCAAGCGAAUUUGGUAAGAGCAGUGGCAGACUCCUUGGAAACUUCAGCUUCCCUCUCAUCCAGAAGUUUAACCAAUGGGGAAAUCAUCCUUGUUUCCGUUGCUCUAAACGUCCUUGCCAAAUUACCAAUAGCCUUUAUGCAAGGUAUCAGCAACUCCGAAUCAGCCUUCUCUAUUAUCAGGAAAAGCUGAUCCACAACAAGCUUACAAGCAUGAGAAUUUGGCUUAAAUGCAGACCUUCUCAAAUCAGUAUCCUGCUCUGCCACUGCCGCAAUCUCCAUCAAUGCCAUAGCCGAAUUCAACUGCACUUCAUCGGUUCCUUUUUCCAACAAAACUGCAAAGCAUAACAGCGCUCUGGAUUCUGUAAUGCUCCGACAGACACUUGAAUUCCCCUUAGCAAGAUAGCAUAAAGCUCUAGCUGCCAUCGCCUUCAUAUAAGCCUUGGUAGCGGUGUCCUCCAAUUCCCUUCCCUUAAUAUUCGCCCCGGAAAUCGAACCAUUCAGCUGCUGCUGAUGAUGAUAAACUUGAUGGAUUAGCUUGGCAUUGCCCUGACUAUUGCUCCUAACAUGAUUACUACUCGGCUUUUGUGGCAAUUUCGUCGCACCUUUCAUUGCCAUGGUAUUCGUAACCACAUUAUGCAUCUGAUUAGGGGUUUGGUUCCCCAAUGGAUGCGGAAUCGGAUUCUGGUGAUCUUCGUCAAUGACGUUUUUCACGUUAUUCACAUUCGAAUUAUUACUGCUCGCCAUAACCACCGCGUGGAUGGACGUCGCCUUGUUACUGGCAAUUGCAUAUUUGCUGUGUUCUUGGAUGGUUUCGAACGCCAAAUGACUGACGAGCAAUCGGAUUAUGUUAUGCUGAGCAAACAAAUCUUGGCAUUUUGGGUAAUUAGCAGCCAGCUCAGACACCGCCCACGCCGUCACAGCUUGAACUUUCAUUGGACCUUCUUUGAGGAUUUUCGCAAACACCGUGCAAACGCCAGCGUGGAUCAUAUGCUCCACGCUUUCCAGGUCCCGACCCAGAAGGCCAAUUGCUUUGGCGGCGUUUUCUUGACCUUCCAUUUUCCCUUCUUUGACUAAUUUCAAUAAUGGCCUAACACCUCCCUCUUCUAUAAUCAGUUUCCCGUACCGAUCAUUGUCUCUGGCUAGGGAAACAAGCGAAGUAGCCGCGUCGGACCGGUCGUCGAGUGAACCGGUGUAAAGAAUCGCGAUUUGUUCCCAUAUUAGGCAUAAAAUCGGCUCGUUUGCAGCGAUUGGAGGAAGGCCUAAGUACUCAUCGUCGCGAUCAUCAGCCGAAGCCGAAACACGGAGAAGCCAGGAAACAUUGCCGAUAGAGUUCUCCAGCUGAGAAGACAUUUUGCGGAACGCGGCAGCAGGGAUGAUUAUAAACACGCGCUUCAUAAAGCCGUUGCCUCGGCAUUUGAGGACCAACGAAAGAGCUUUAUCGAGGACUUGUUCUGUAUCAUCGAUUAUACGGCGCGUAGGGCGUUCGUAGAGGUCGGAACUGGCACGCGCUGCUUGUCGGAGUAAGCCGGCAAGUUUCUCCGUCUUUGACUUAAGCUCCGCACACUCUUGCUUGAACGAACUUGCUUCAUCCGCCGCUUUCGUUACUUGGUCUGCUAACUGAAUUGGCUUUGCCAAGAUUUGCUUCACCAUAUCCGCCAUCAGAACAGAAAAAAAAAGUGAAGAGAAACGACUUUAUAUUUAUUGCGAUUCUAACCUUUUGGGGUUAGAAGUUUCUGGUUAAAGGCUUGAUAAACGGGGGAAAUGGAGGGUGAAAAUGGGAGUUAAUUGCUGCUUUUAGGUUCUAUGGGGAUUUUGGACUUCAGGGGUGCAUUGGUUUGCCUUGGUUUCAGGGUGUGGACGCAUGAGGAAAGUGAAAGAAGAAAAGGUUGAAUGGGGGUUCAUGGCAGACGAGUUUUACAAUGUCAAACGCGCAUUCAUCUUCUUGUUUAUUUAACAAUUUUGGGUGGACAUAGCUUCUACGAUUGUUGCUGUUGUGUUGCGCUGUAUUUUUGUUGUUUAUAUAUUCUUUCAGAAAAAAUGAAUUUUUGUAUAAUGAAGGAGGUGAACGGUGUUGAAUUGCAUUGUUGCUGUCAUUUUUUAUCAAUAUACAAAAAGUACAUACUUUUGAGUCAAUGGCUAUGGAGGUGACAGGCAUAAUCCCAAAGACAUGCAAAACAAAGAAGGAUUUUUAAAUAGGCAGCAGCAGAAACAGGACAAUACAAAACAAGGUAAAAGAAUUUCCAGCUGCCAUUGGAACCUUUUGCCAUUCAUUUUGAUAACUUCAUCUUCUUUUCUUGACUUUUCUUUAUACAAUUUAUAUAGUGUUUUACACUUUAUUACAGCGUUAGUAUUUGUUUGCUUUCAGUUCUUACUAGACUUAACGGCUAAAUUAGGCAUAAAUGAUUUUAAAAAUUAAUUGAAUAAUUAGGUCGAUUUUUACCAUAUUUAUAGCACUAGGCCGUUUUUUAAGAGAGAAGGGAAAAUGUGUUCAGCUUUUUCCCCAACGGUCGAAUUGUCAACGGCCAUAAAAAAAUGGGUAUCGCUAAAAAAACACCCUCAACAUAUUAAAAAAAACACCCUAAUUCUCCUUUUCAGUGUAAUUGAUUACAACAUUUCUCAUUUUAUUGGAUGAGUGUCUUUUCCAAUGAAUCUUUUUAUUAAUACAAUAAUUAUAAUCAAGAUCUUAAAUUAAUGUGGUCCAAAAAAUUAAUUAGUACAUUUUUCAAAUAUCUUCAUUUUCAUCAUCUUAAAUUAAUUAGUGUAAUCAAUUUAGUCCAAAAAAUUAGAGUCAACAUCUUAAAAAACGGGAAAAAUUAAUUUUGUUGUAAUUAAUACAAUAAAUAAGCAGAGUUAUAUAUAUAUGUUUAUUUUCAUGAACAUUAACAACACCCUAACGUAAACUCAUAUUAUUAUUAACAAAAUUAAGUAUGUCCUUCUCACUACACUCUAUUAUUUGUAAUUUUAUUUUUUAUAAAUUUGUUCUAAACUGUUUUUUAUAAAAAUCUGUUUUUUAAAUUUUUCUUUUUUUAUUUAUUAAUUCUUGUAUAAAUUAAAAUCUGUUUUAAAUUUUUAUAACUACUGAUUUCUUCGUCAUAAUUUGUAGUGUUCAACAAAAGAUGUCGAAUUUUUACUGAAGUAACUUAAAUGAAGACAAUGAGAUCUCUAUGGCGACAUCACCAUUUUUUACCGAUCGGGUAUAAUAUUUAUCAUGAUGUUAAUAUUUUUUUAUCUUCAUAACAUUUAAUAUUUGUUAACAAAAUCAUUUAAAUUUUAGGUGUUCGAGUCUUGUGAAGAGCUGAUGCAAUGGGUGCAAAACACGGCAUUCUCUCUUGGUUAUAUCAUCGUCACAAGAAGAUCAAAAGCAAAGGAAAAUGGUGUGGUGUCUUACGUCACACUUAUUUGUGACCGUGGCAGUGAAUACAAAUUUAAAGAAUCAAGUAAAAAGUCUGGCACCAAAAAGACUAACUGUAAAUUCCAAUUGGUAGGUUCGUAUUUAAAACAAUAUGAUGGGUGGAUGUUGAGGGCGAUAUGUGAUCAACAUAACCAUCCACCUGCACAACAUAUGCAGGGACAUGCUUAUGCAAGGUGGUUGAAAGAAAACAAAAAAAAAUUGUUGGUUGAUUUGACGAGUAAGAAUGUUACAUCACAUGACUAAUUAUCGACACUGAAGGAGUAGGACGAGAAUAACGUUUCUACACAAAAAACCAUAUACAAUGCACGACAAAAGCUUCACUCGUCCCAGAAUGUCGGUAAAACUCCGAUACAGGUUCUUAUGUUGCUUUUGAAUGAUAAACAAUUUUUUACUGAGUUUUCAGUAAAUAAUAUUUCAAAUGAAUUGGAAAAUCUAUUCUUCAUUCAUCCACGACCAUUGGAUAUAUGGCGUGCAUUUCCGCACGUUUUGAUUGUAGACGCAACGUACAAAACGAACAAAUAUGAUCUGCCUUUUCAAAUUGUCGGCGUGACUUCAACCAACAAGACAUUUAGUAUAGCUUUUGCCUUUAUCAUUAACGAAAAGGAGGAGAAGUAUAACUGGGCAUUAACAUGUCUAAAGUUGACACUAGAAGAGUGCAUCUACCCACGUGUUAUUGCGACGGACAGAAAGUUCGCUCUGAUGAAUGCAUGCCAACAAGUUUUUCCUGAUAUCACUCGGUUACUAUGUAGAUGGCACAUUACUGAAAAUAUUAAAAAGCAUUGUAGGUAGUGUAUCAAGUCGCAACAUGAGUGAGACUCCUUUCGUGCUAUGUGGACUGUACUCGUUGAAUCUCCAACGUGGAUAUUGUACACCAAAAACUACAGAAAACUCCAAUCAAUGUUGAGCGAAUAUCCAGGUAUAAACCUCGCUAUUCUAUAAAUAAUUGUUUAUAGUUUUAGAAGACUUUUUAUACAUAACUAACAUUUAUAUAAAUUCAGGUGUUUUAAAAUAUCUAGAUCAAGUGUGGUUAAGCAAAUAUAAGGAAAUAUUUGUGUCGGUCUAGAUUGAUCGGCAUCUCAACUUUGGAGAACGAACUAUGAAUAGAGUUGAGAGCCAUCAUGCAAAGCUAAAGAAAUACCUUAGUGCAAAAAAAUUUUCUCUAGAUAAAUUUUUUGGUUGUAUCGAUCAGAUUGUGAAGUCUCAACUUACAUCGAUAUAUGAAAGUUUUGAAAAGAGUAGAACUAUCCUCAAACACAAACACAACUUACCGUGUUUUAGAUUAUUGUGGGGUUUUGUGGCACUAGAAGCUCUAGAUAUCAUAGAAGGGGAACUUCAGUGGUUAUGUAGACAUUAACUUGACUCUUCAAACUGUGGUUGUAAACUACGUCAUAGUUGUGGGUUACCAUGCGCUUGCAUGCUAUCAGUCUACUUGAAUUUAGGUGGUACAUUUAACAAUUAUUUUCUAAAUUUUUAUUUAUAUAUUGAAUUUUUAUAAAAUAAUGACAUUUCAAUGCAUGUGAGUGUAUUCCGUUGGAUUUAAUAGAUGUAUUCUAGAGGAAGCUUGACUUAUCACCAUCAACUUCUGUGGAAAAUGAAGAUAUUUGUUGUGACGGUGAGUUAAAAUUGUUCAAAGAAAACUUCACUAAGCAAUCAAAAGCCGGGAAAAAAAUUCUAUUAAGAAAGUUAAGAGAUAUAUUCCAGCCGAGUAAAACACUCAUUAAAGAACUUACAAUUCAAAAAAAUACGCGUGAACGACCAACCUUGAAGAAAUAACAACAAAAACGAGUCGAUUCUAUAAGUCAAGCUUCCAGAAGACGUAGUCAUUCAACCACGUCAAAAUCAUCUGUUGGGUUGGAUCUGGUAGAGUUGAACAAAGAACCUGCAAGACAUAGUUCAUACGUAAUCAAAAUUCCAAACUUAAACUAGGAGCCAUCAGAGCAAGUUUCAGACUUCAUAGAUUUAAACCAGAUGUCUGAAUCAUGUAACACUCAUCCACUAAUGAAAGAAAUUCCAGAUAUGUUCCACCCUUACAUCACACAUGUACAAGAUGUUAGGGGUGAUGGAAAUUGCGGAUUCCGAGCAAUAUCUAUUUGUCUUGGUUAUGGCAAAGAUCAAUGGCUCUAUGUUCGACAUCAACUGCUAGACGAGUUAUUGAGUUCAUAUGAUAUCUAUGCUAGAGUUUUCACUGAUGGAAUCGAUGAAUUACGUAAUUCACUGUGUUUCUCAGAAUCGCCUGCACCAGCAGAACACUAGAUGGUUAUGCCUAUGACAGGUGUCCUGAUUGCCAAUAGGUUUUGGGUGAUCCUCAAUUAUUUAACCAAGCGAGGUGACAUAACUUUCUUUCCUCUUUGGAGAGGUCUGGAACAUUUUCAAUACCAUCAUGCUAUUACAAUUGCACAUGUAUAUGAUAAUCAUAAUGUGAUGGUACAAUUAAAAGGAGAUUACCCAAUGCCUACCAUUUUGGCUUAUUGGAUCCGCCAUAGAGCCCCGUCUACAGCUGGAUGACAAACCAUGUAUAUGUCACGUCUAGAAUUUUAUAGACAACUGAAACCUUGUAAUCUCAAAACAUCUAUUAUAACUAUAGAGGAUUAUUGUUGAAUAAUAUUAUUUUAUUAUAUUUUAGCAUUUUGCUCAUAUUUUUGUAUUUAUGUAUUCAUAUAUAUGUUUAACAAUAAUCCUAUAAUAAAAAAAUAUGUUGAAUAAUAAUACUUAUAUCUUUAAUAAUAAUACAAUAUUAAAAAUAUUUAAUAAUAUUUAAUAAUAAUACAAUAAUAAAAAUAUGUUUAACAAUUAAAUGAGAUAAAAAAGUGGGUGGAGAGGUGAUAAUUAAUUCUUAAUCAUUACAGUAGAAAGAUGUUAAUUACUAACCAAUCAAUAAAGUAAAAGAACAUUAAUUAAUAACUAAUUAUUAAUUAUAGUAAAGGUGUGUUGUUUAUUAGGGUGUUUUUUUAGUAUGUUGGGGGUGUUUUUUUAGCCAACUCCUAAAAAAAAUAGCUAGUUUUUGUUUCUAUAUAAACCCAAUUCUUUUCCUCAUUUUUUCAUUUAAAUUCAUUUCUAUCAAUUCUCUCAAUAGUUUAGUUCUAAAAUUUUAAUUAAAAUUCUCUCAAGUUCGUCUUCAUUUAAUUCUAUUUUUUUAUUUUUAUUCGUUUUAAUUCAAUUUUGGAAUGACAAAUACUCUUAUUUGUUUCGAUGACAACCACAUUUCUGCAAUUCAACUACAAAUUGUAAGAAAAUAUUUCUAAUAUUUAUAAUUAUAUUUAAGUUCAAUAUUAAGUUGUUAAAAAGGUUAGAAUGCUCACACGACCAUGUGAACCAAAUCAGUGAGUUACACAGUCUAUGACACAGCCAUGUGUCAUUAAUUCGAAUGCUCACACGGUCUGAGUUGUGUCACAUGGCCUGGUCACACAGCCGUGUGACCCCUGUCUUUUCCAAAUUUUCAAGUUUUUCCUAAAAUUUAUGUUGUGAUUCAUUUUGAUCCUCAAUUGCUUUCAAACUAAUUUUAGGGCACCGAAAACCCGAAUUAAGGCCCAUGUGAAUAUUCAUUUUAUGAAAUUAAUUGAAUACUUGCUCUGAAUUAAGAUAAAUUGUUCUGUUUGGUUCUGUAAAACUCCGAUCCUUAAUUUUAAAACGGAGACGGGAUACAGGUGUUACAAGCAACUUUUUAAAACUUUAACAGUUUCAUAAAUUGGUACAUAGGCUAGCUAAAUCAAGCACUUAUGACCCCUGUCAAAACCACUUUUUUUUUAUAAUUUGAAAAAUGGGGAUCGACUUUGAAGAUGAGAAUUGGAGUCGCCACCGAUCUUUUAUUAAGGUAUGAUCGGUUCACCAUUAAAAUAAAUUUUAGGUCUGCGAGAUUUGAGAAAAUAGGUCCGGGAGUCGGUUACGUACGAGGAAGGGUUAGCACCCUCGUGACGCCCAAAAUUGGUACCGCAUUGAUUGUUUAAUGUCUUAAUGUCAAAAUUUUUAAGAGAUUUUAAAAUACAACCUUUUAAAAAGAAAAUUUGAAUAUGAUAAUGUACCCUUAUCUUGCAAAAAUAAAUUGCCACACUCAGUGAGUUAGGGUGCAACAAUUCGAUCUUCAAAAUUAGAUUUGUCCCCUUUUUAAGAAAAUCAUAUAUUCGAAGAAGGAUAUUUGAUUAUUUGAGUCGAUCGGGAAAUCCGAACCCAAUAAGUUAGGGUUCAAUUCUCUCGAAAUUCUUAAACAUCAAACAUUGCCUUUAUUUUAAAAUUGAGAUAACAAAAUGUCGUAUCCAGUAAGUUAGGAUCCAACAUUUUGAAAUCUUAAGAAUUUUAUUUUAGAAACCACAAGGUUUUUUUUAUUACCAAAGAGAUGCUCGAUUACCCAAAUUCAUCAGAAAAAUUGAAGCCCAAUAAGUUAGGGCACAAUUCUCUCGUGAAUUAUGAAUGUCGAGUAUUAUAACAUCUAAAAGGGAUUUCAAAACUUAAACCAUAUUAAACAAAAAAUUUUAAUAAAAGAUAUUCGGUGGAAUAAUGUACAAUAUUAAGCAGUCAUUUGUAAUCAAAAUGCAAUCUAAUGAUCUACGAAUAAUUAACAAAUACAAACAAGCAAUACAAUACACCCAAAAGCAAUUUUCACAUCAUAUAUUAUGUUAACAUUUAAAAGCUAAUGAAUCUAAAGUCCAUCAAAACACUAAAUAAAUUAAUGCACAUGAAAAUGUACAAAAUUUUAAAAUAAUUUAAGAUGUAUAAAAAAAGAAAUUAUGAUUCAAAUAAAUUAAAAAUAAAUAUUAUAUAUAAGAAUUUGAAAUAAAUCACAAUUAUAGUUAAAAAAACAAUUGUCAAAUGGAAUAAUAAUACCCGAAUAAAUAAAAAAUGUCAUAAUUAAAAAAUAACAUAUAUUUAUUAAUUUAAAUAAAUAAUAUUUGUAAAAAAGGGAUAAUAACAUAUAAUACAUAAAAUGAAAUAAGUGAAAUACACCAAGGAGGCUUUUUUAAUGGAAUAAAUUACGUAUGUAUUAAUAAUAAGUAGAAAAUACAAUAAUAAAAUCAAUAAUAUACAUUUAUAUGUAAAAUAAACAUAAUUUUAUAUAAAUUAUAUAUACAUAUGUGUAUAAAAUAGUAUUAUAAGGGCAUUAUUAAUUUUUUAAAGCACAAAAGUAUAUGAAUAAACAUUUAAAAAAUGUAUUAUAAAAUAUAUAAAUAAUAAUUAACAUAAAAUAUAUGCUAAUAUAUUAGAAUAUAAAAAAAUUUAAAAUAACGAUGUGUAAUGAAAUAAAAUAAUGUAUGUGCAUAUAUAUGUGAAAAUAAGUAACUAUGUAUGCUAAGAUAAUAAUAAUAACAAUAAUAACAAUAGUAAAGAUAAUAAAUGAAAUGAUUUUAGCAAUAAUAAUAAAACAAAGGACAAAAUUGGUAAUAAAGCAGUAAUGCAGGGGAGAAAUCUAAACCAAAUAAAAGAACGGGUCCAAAUCGCAAAGCGCGAAUGACAUAGGGCACCGAAAGGGGAAUAUUCUCCACCCUCCAAAACGUGGCGUUGCACGCUGGACCAAAAUGAAAUGAAAACAGAAUACGAGGCCAAAUCAGGAAGAAAGAAAACACUUGAUUCGAAAGCACCAGAAAAGGGAAGGGGUUGGCCGUGCAAAUAUCCCUCCCUAAGCCAGAACACACGGAUCUAGCCGCGUCUGGGUCGGGUCAUCGGGUCGUGGCCUAAACGGCACCGUUUCAAGGCCAUUGAAUCCGGCCCAAAUGGUGUCGUUUCAUGAUUUCCCACUUAGCCAACAUUAAAACUAUAUUACCCUAAGCAAAAAAGAAAAGAAAGCCCUAAAAAAAACUAAUCCCCUCCAUUCAAACGACGCGUCGCUUCAGCCUCCUUUCAUCCCGUUCCAACUCCGAUUACAGCGGAGUGAACCAGGAUCCAACGCUCCCACCUCGAAGGUGAGUUUAUACUUCUUUCUUCCUCUUACUUUCGUCCUUCAAUCAUUAAAAAAAUGAAUAUGGAAAAAAAAACAUGAAAACAUCAUCGAAAAAGAAAAUCGAAGGAGAAUCACCUUUCGAAAACCCCUUUCUCUUUGAUUUCUGAGUAUUUUUUACAAUAAGUGUGCUCUCUUUUUUUGCCCUUUUUUUUGUAUUUCAAUCCGUCUGUUUACAGCAUUCGAAUGGCCUUUUAUGGCCCGUAUUACAAAAUGAAAUGAAAAGAAAAAAAAAGAAAAAUGUUCCCCCCCAAAUCCCCUCUGUUGCCCCUAUUCUGCUAUCUUUCUCUGUUUGUUUUCCUGUGUAUUUUACAGGUACGAGGGCAGAGGCCGACAUGGCGUGUACGGAGGCAAAACGAGCAGUGGUGGCGUAUGUGCGAAGGCGCGCACGCUGGCAGAGGCUCGGCACAUGGGGACGAAGGCCAUGGCGGCGCUGGAAGCCAAAUGUUGCUAGGGUUUCAGUCUCGGUUCGGGCUGGGUAUUGGGUUUGUAAUGUUUUUAUGGUAAUUGGGCCGUUUGUAAAUGGAUUGUUUAUUGGUUUUUAUUUUAUUCAUUUAUUUAUUUAGUUUACUUCACAACAGGCCAGGCAGAUUGGGCCUAUUACAACCCCAAAUCUAUAAAUAUUACAAGAAAAGAACUUGAAAUAACAUAUUUAAGUGUAGUGGUAUAUGGAAGUAAAGUGAAUUUCAAAGUGAGAAUAUAAUGAUUAAUGAAAAUGGACUAAAUUGAAUGAUAUGCAAAAAUUUAGAAUUAAGAUAAAUUUUUGUUCUGAUCUGGGAAAUGAAGUAUUAUGAGAUAGUGUGUUAUAUAUUUCAGGUGUCAAUGAAGUAUUAUUAUAGUGCUUAUUGAAUUUUUAUAAUAAGGACUAAAUUGAAAAGAAUUCAAAAGUAUAUAAGUUCUGUUUUGAAAUGUAAAAGUGAAGCUAAUUUUGAUAUAUUUGCCCAAGUAGACAAGAUGUAAACUUGUGGGAUAUAGAUGGCAUGACAUUAUGAAACAUUCGGCGCGCUCUCUAAUUUGUUAAUGCACUUCGGUGCCACUCUGUUUUGAUAAAGCACUUCGAUGUUAUUCUAUUCUGAUAUUGUACUUCGAUGCCACUCUAUUCUAUGAUUACACCUCGGUGAAACUUUGUAUUAUUUCUGUAUAUCCAACAUGUUCUAUUAAGUCUACAUUUGGCAUAUGUUAAAUAAUAAAGGACAAAAUAAAGUUUCAUUGAGGAUUGGGCUCUUCACAUCUCAUCACAUGUUAAGGACUUUAAGAUAAGUAUGGAAUCUUCAAAACUUUGGUUUAGAUUAAUGGCACGUACAUGGGUGAGCAAUAGCAUAAGAAAUGAGAUGUUUAGAUAUACUUAUACUCGUGUUAUAUAUAGUAUUUGGAGCGUUAAAUACAAUAUAUUACGUGGUUUAGGAGUCUUGGAUAAUGUUUGGACUGAUUAUAAGCAAAUUUGGUAUGGUUUAGAAGUGUUUGAAAGUAGAAAUUUCAGGUUCCCUAUCUCAGGUCUCGAGACAUCAAAACUUUGAACCUAAAAAUCUAUAGUAACAAUGCCAUGUCUCGAGACAAAAGCCCCAUUGUCUCGAAACCUACAACCUAUUAUCUCAAGAUCGGGCAACUUUGAACCCAAAUUCCUAUAGUGGCAUGGCAAUGUCUUAAGGCAUGAGGGCCAUGGUAUCGAGACAUACGGAUUUACAAGGCAAAACUUUCAAUUAGGUGUUAUGAGACCCUAAACAAAUUUUACAUACAAUUAAUCUUUAUUAUUAGUCAAAUUAUGUUCCUAAAAGCAUAAUAAGGGUAUGGAAUCAUUUGUAAAAAGUCUAAUUUAAAAGUAUUUGAAUUCAUAAGUGAAUCUUUAAUGUUAAAUGUAACACUCGUUGCUCGAGCUUACUCUAAUAACGGGUGUUAUAGCACAUAUCUAUUCAUUGAGGAAUGUAUUUGUGAGUAUAAUUAAGGGUAAAUAAAUUGUGUUUACAGUUUAAAUUCUCAGGGGGGAGUUUAGAUGUGAGUGUUGUAACCUUUAGGUACAAAGGUGAGACCUCUAUACUUGGGAAGUGAUAGAAUGUAAUUCACUUGUUGUAUUGGUGAUUAAAGAUAGUGGAAUUACUUACUGAGCUAGACUCCGUAGAUGUAGGGAAACUGAAUUGUGUAAACAAAUAUUGGUGUUCUUUGUUAUUUUGUUCACACAAUUUUCACAAUGAUAAGUCAUAAUGGCUAGUGCAAUCAGGCGCUUUUAUUCAACUUAGACAGUUCAAGCAAUUAAUGACUUUAGGUCUCAAUAAGUUACAUAAGUAAACAAAGUUUGAGGAAAAAAUUAGUCCCUAUAUUAAAUGAAGUUAGUCAUUUUGUCACACUAGCUCUAAUUUUUUUUUGGAUCACUUUGGCACUCAACAUUUAAAUUUUAGUCAAAUUACUUUUAUUAGAUGGAAAAGUUGAUCGAGCUAUGAAAAACUUAACCACAUUGAUGUGGCAACUCAAGUGUCAAUUCAUGUGUACUUCAUAAAAAUUUAAAAUUAUUAACAAAAUUUAAAGAUGUCAGAAAAAUCUGUAAAAAAAAAAGUAUCCAUAACAACAAUGAAUUACACAUAGACUAUCAAGCGAGCUGUCACAACAGUACUGUUAAAUUUUAAAUAAUUCAAUAAACUUUUUUAUUUAAAAAUAUAACAAUUUAACUAAAUUUUAAAGAUUAAGAGCAAAAAUAAUCCUUAAAAAAUAAAUAUUAAAACUAAAACAAAUAAAUACUAAAUACUAAAAUAUUCAUUAUGUAAAAAUUAAAUUUCAAAUUUAAUGAAAAGAAAGACUUACCACAUAUUAGUAGUUGCAACAUGGUAAUGAGCAUGAGGUCUCAUAUUUUACCCAUUCCCCAAAAGGUUCAAAAUCCAAGAGAGUGUAGGAAAAGAGUUGAAUGGAUAUGAAAGUGUUGGUCAAGUGGUGAUGGUUCCACCUUUAGUGUUUUUGGAUGGAUUGAUCUCCAACUUCUCCUAUAAUCUAUUGGGACAUUAAUUCCUAUUUUUACAUUUAUAGGUAGACCUAACUAAUUUUUCAAACUUUUAAAAUAUCUCCCAAAUAUACAAACUCAUUCCAAUCUUAUGAAAUAACAACUUCAACAAAACUAUGAAGUGCUAAUUCAAAAAGAUGCCUACCUACCUAUUCUUGAUUUGGAUUUUAAUUUGUUUCACAAGUUUCCCAUCCAACAUACUUCUUACUCCAUUGUUUCUUUAUUAUGUAUUUGAAAUUUGUAAAAGUUAUGAAUUUAAUUUUUGUAUUUUAAUUUAAUUAAUUUUAAUCUAUUUAUUUUUCGAAUCAGUCAGAUUUAGUUUAUGUUAUUUUAAAUUUUGAAAUUUUAGGCUUUACCCAAACGGUAACUGUUAAAUUUAAUUACUAGUCUUGUACUAUACAUACAGUAAUAGAUUUAGUCCAUAUUUUUCAAUUGGAUCAUUUUAAGUCGUGAAUUUUGAAAUUUUAAUCUUGACGCAAAUAACAGUCGUUAAUCCAUUAACUGAAAUUUUUAGUGAGUAAAAUGUGGAAAUAACAAGCUGAUAUGGCGUUACACAUAUAAUAAUAUGUUUGGUGUAUCAGAUUAUGGAAGUAACACAUAUAUCAUUUGGUGAUGACUGAAAUUUUAAAAUUUAAAAAGUAUAUAAACUAAAAAUGACCAAAUUAAAAUAUAAAAACUUAAUUUACAAUGUUUACAAAGUAUAGAAACUAAUAGCAUAAUUUAACCGAUAAACAACAAAACCUAGCUAGCAAGUUACAUUCAGGAAGAACAUUUGAUUUUGAAUUUAGUUCAAAAGGACCCUUCAAUAUUUCUUUUAAAUGAAAUUUCUCAAAUCACCCACAUGUUGAUAUACAUUAUUAUUAUUAUUUUUUGUAAAAACAUAAAAAAGGAAAAAAUAAUAAAUGACAAUUUUUAUUAAUUCAAUAUAUUACAGAAUAUGAGAAUGGAAAGAUAUUAUCUUUUGAAAUAAUAAAAUUAAAUAUAAAAAUUUUGAAAUAAAUGAUAACAUAACAUAAAAUUAUAUAAGAAAAAUAAUUGUUCAUUAACAUAAGGUUCCAAAUUACAUAUAAAGAAGCAGUCAAAACUGAGUUUGCUAUAGCAUGAGCUUGAACAGGUAAUUGUGAAUUUGUUUCAAGCACAAUGUUGUAGCCCAUUCUGUUUCCAAGCCCUCAUAGAGACCUCCAAUCACAUAUCACACAGUAGUAAAGGAGAGCUUCAAUUAUCAGAGUUGAGUUCUCUUCUCCUGGACAAUAGAAAAGCUGAGAUUAAGAUGAUAGUUUGUGUUGUAAGUAGUAAAGACCUAGAAGCUUUACCAUUUCCCUCAAUUGCUUUUGCAAUAUGUUCCCUGGAAAGCCCCAUUCCAAUGGGAGAACAAUGAAUCUAACUUUUCCCAUUCUUACAGGCUUUGUUUAUUUUCAAGCAUUUCUUUCCUUGUUGGGUUCACGGAGCUUUAGCUAUGGAUUUGUAAGAAAUAGCACAAUUAAGGCCAUUGACAAGUUUUAGCUGGACUGACACCACCAACUAAAUAGAAUACCAAUGAAAGAUUCAAGUUAUUUUUCCAUUCGGAAAUACAGAUGAAACCUAGGAAAUGGACUCCACACAGGAGCUGUCCCAUAGAACAAAAGCCUAAAAGACCUGCCCAAAACACCGGCAAAAUUAACGAAUCACUGUAACAAAAUGCAAGAUCCCCACAACUGCAGUGAGUCAUCCAUUGAGUUGUAGCUUGAAGGCUUGGAUUUCGGCUUGGGACAGAAAUGGUGACCAAAGAAGCAAAGAAAGGAAAAAAGAUGAGACCUGUACUCAUUGGUUAACAAUGGCAAAGCUUGGUUGUACACUUCUUUGGCCCUCAAAAUGAAAAAUUAAGUCUUCAACUAAAUUGGAAAUAAUUAAAAAAAUUCAAACAAAAUGGAAGAAGUCCCUUUGUGUUACCUCAAGUGGAACAAAUGAUGAGGAGGAAUAUUUUACAAUUGUAUGGCCUUCACAUCCCAGGUUGUGUCCUAGUUGCAACUGACUCAGACAACUCGAGUGAUAGUGGUGCUGAGUAUAUUGUUGAUUUUAUGGAUACUUAUAAAACUAUGCUAGCUAAUUCGGACUAGGUGUGAAAGAUUAAUGGGAGGUUGACUUAUGAGAAUUCCAUGCAGACACGAGAAUGGGGGCCCAAACUAGAAGCUACCUUGAAGGAAUCGACAACUGCACAGUCUGUGACACGAGUAUGGGCCCAAAUUCCAGCCUAAGAAUAUGUUGUUCUUAACCUUUUAUAAGGUCAAUUUGACAACCCCAAAAAAUAGCAAAAUUUAAAGCCAAACUUUGGACGUGAGACAAUGCGCGGAUGAGAUAAAUUUUAUGAAUGAAUUUUAUUAACUUACAUUCAUAAAACAUCUUGUUUUUCAAGCUCAAAAGAUUAGUUGACUUGUGAUGAGCUUUUGGAUGAAUCCAAACAUUUCUAGGUUGAGAUUCUUUUAUUAUGUUUGAAGAGUUAUCUCUUGUCUUCGAGACACACUUUGAAUCACCUGAUUUCAAAUCUUAAAACUCAAGUUAUGACAAUUUUAGUGAAGACUGCACGAUUUUGCUGUACGGGAUUAUUACGAGAAAUUAUGAGCUUCGAGCUUUAAUUCGAGUUUAAAUCAUAUUGAGUUUGAUUUUAAGGCUCAAUUUUAACUAUAUGAACCCAAAAUUGUAUUUGUUAAAUUUUUUAUUUUUUUUAUUUUUCCAAAAUUUGUGACGUUUUUAGGUAUUUAAAGUUGUUUACAAGUUUUAUAUUUCUUAGUUAACAAGAUAGUUUAGUUCCAUUAGAACUAGUGUCAUUAUACUUAAGAGUUUUAUUUUGAUGUAAUUAACUAGCUUAUAUAAAGGCUUCUUCAUUAUUCAUUAAACACACCACCCAUUGAAUAAAGCUUUUUUUUCAACUCUUUGAAUUUUAUCUUUGCAAGAUAGCUUUCUUGUGAUUUGUAAAAGUAUUUUCUUCUAAUGCAUAUCCGGACUAUCCAAGUUUGAAAGUUAUUGAUUGACAUGUCCAAAACAGCAAAAAAAAAAAAAAACCUUUUCAAGGUUUUUCAUUUCAUGAAAGAUUUUAAUUGCAUGAUUUUCUGUACUCAAAGAUUAGGUCAUUGAAUAUUUUUAAAAUAAGAAAAAAAAUCAAAAUGAUUGUUUUGUAAUAGCUUAAAAAUUAUAAUUUUUCUUAGAGUAAUUUAAUUAAAGAAUAUGAUAUUAAUUUAAAAUAUGACAGUUGGAUUUAAGCUAACUUGAUUUUUUACCAUAUUCACAAAGAUGGCACUAGUUUAAAAUGGGCACAAUAAGAAUGAUGUUAAAUACUCUUUUUAUUUAACGAGUUUUGGAGGUACGUUGAGGAAUAUUAAAAAUGUGUCUUUUUUUUAAAUUUUAGAAAUAGAAGUAAAUUGAAAAGUUUUGUAAAAUUUGAUAACUAAAUUCAUUGGAUUUUUACAAUUCAAACUAAAAUGACAAAUUUUGUAAACAUAGAGUGCUAAAUUUGUUGAAUUUUUUAGAUUUAUGAUUAAAUUGAUAGAAUGCGUAAACAUUGGAGAGCUAAAUUUGUUAUUAGGCCAAUAUAAUUGUGUUUUUCAUGCAUGUAAACUUUUGAACAAAUCCGAUUUUUCUUUCAUAUCGACCUAAAUCAUUCUCUCUCUCUCUCUCUCUCUCUCUAUAUAUAUAUACAACGAUUGAAAUUUCUUUACAUAAAAUAAAUAGUUAGAAAAUUUAAAUUUACGUCAAAUAUGACAUACAUGAAUACACCAUGAAAUAUAACGGUUGGAUUGUUAAAAUACUACUUUAGUUUUUACACUGUGUGGGUCCCUCCCUAUAUAGAGUUACACAUCAUAAAAACUUACACACUUUCAUAACUAAUUUAUAUGAUUAAUAUUUUAAUGAUCCAACCGUUGAAUUUAUCAAUAUAAUUGUAUUUGUCAUGCACGUAAACUUUCGAAUAAAUUAAUAUCUCUAUCAUAUUGAUCUAAAACACUAUAUAUUAAUAUAUAUUCAAGGGUUGAAAUUUUUUACAUAAAAAAAAACAGUUAGAAAUUUUAAAUUUACAUUAAAUUUGACAUACACGAUCUAAAUGAAUAGACCACGAAAUAUAACGGUGGGAUCAUUAAAGUAUUAAUCAUAUAGACAGUUAUGAAAAUGUGUAAAACUAUUUUAGUUUUUACACUAUGUAAGUGGAUCCUCCCUAUACAGAGUUACACCGUGUAAAAACAAAAGUAGUUUUACAUGCUUCCGUAACUAUCUAUAUGAUUAAUAUUUUAAUGAUGUAAUCGUUGAAUUUAUCAACAUGCAUGUAAAUUUUCAAACAGAUCUGAUAUCUCUAUCAUAUUGAUCUAAAACACUCUAUAUAUUAAUAUACAUUCAACGAUUGAAAUCAUUUUUAACAACAUUAAUUGAAAAUAAAAUAUUUAUAAAACUAUAAUUAUUUAUAUAUAAUAAAUAUAUAAAAUCAAUAAUUAUUCAAAUCUAUAAAAUUUAAAUUUAGUGAUAAUAUAAAAUAUAGAUUAUAGUAAAAGAUAGACUUAUAUAAUAUUAUAAUGUUUAAUCAUCAAUGCAUAUAUAAAAAUUAUUAAUAUAUUAUAUAUCAAACGAUACAUUAUAUGAUAUAGUAGAAGAGUUUACUUUCAAAUGUUCGAAGAAUAUAGAGUACUGACUUUUACAAAUUGCAUUUGGGUAUUGAGUUAAAUUUCUUUUUAUUUUUUACUUGAGAUUUGUGCUAAAAUUAAUAAUGAGUAAAUUAGUAUAAUAUAUUUGAGUUUUGGAAUAAAUAUUUUAGAAAUGAGUAUUAGAUUUAUAAAUUUAAUAAGAAACACAAAAGUUAUUUAAUUUUUAAUAUAAUAUAAUAUAAUAAUAAACAAUAAAAAACAUUUCCGUUAAGUGACAUACAUAUCAUACAAUAAGCACUUCAAUUAUUUUAUAUAAAAGAGCUAUAUUAAAUAUAUAUGAUUUAUAUUUUUAUAAGACAAAUUUGAGUUGUGUUGUCAUCGUAUUAAAGUAAAAUAAAUUAUUACAUACUAAAUUAAAAACAUUUAUAAUUUCAAUCCGUUAGAGCUCGCCCAAUUUUAAAAAAUUUUGAGUUCAAAAAAUUUCAAAUAUAAAAAGACUUGAAUCCAAAAAAUCUAAACUCAAAAUAAUCAGGUUUGCCACCUCGAAUCACAUGAAAUGUCAAUCGUUGGGCGAAACAUGCGGGUUUCCGGCUUUGUUAAACUACUUUGUCCCAACCCGUCUUAAAAGUUCCAACUUAAGAAAGCCCAAAAUAAAUAACAAUAAGGAAGUAGAAUUGGUGCUUACAACAAAAAAGUGAGUGGUUGAGUGCCCUUCUAAUCUUACCACAAAAUUGAUUAUUUUUUUAAUAAUUGUGAGAGGAGAGAGAAAUUGUUUGGUAUCGAAUUUAAAUUUGUAUAGUUAUAAUGUAAUGUUCUUGUAAAUUUUAAAAGAUUUAUUCCAUUAUUAAUAUACACAAAUUCAAAUAUACUGAAAUGUAAGGAUUGAAGAAUAGUUACAGAACCACAAAGUAGAGAGUGGCAGGCUGAUAAACUAGGAAGAAAGUGAAGUGGGAAAUUUUAUUUUCAUCUAUUACCGAUACCCGAGUAUAUAAUAGACCACAAGCAUCAAAUGUGGAAAACAUGACAUACAUUACUCGCUAGAAAAGAAAUAGAAACGGGUGUCACCACCACAAAAAAGUAGAAAUGCAAUAAAAUUAACACAACAUAGUGGAAGACGAAACAGUGCUAACACAAUAACCAGCAGUAGGGUAAAAGUUUUAUGCAAGGAUUUCCUCCAAUGGCUUGGCUUCAAGCUUGGGCUUCUCAUUCUCAGCCUCCUUCUCCUUCAACUGUUGCUGCUCUUUGGCCAGCUUCUUCAGCCUGGCAAGCUCAAGAUCCUUGCUCAUCUUCCUCCUAUACAUCUCAGCAAAUGUGAUGGGCUCCUCAAGGAUUGGUUUCUCUCCUUCUCUGAUCUUCAAGGGAUACACUGUGGCAUCGGGUGCUGGAUUUUGGAAUGUGGCUAUUGACAAUCUGCUGCAGUUUGAGUUCACCACUGCUUGGUGAUCAGCAUUCUUGAACCUCCCAUUGCUCAGAUACUGCUCACCAUCAAUUAUUUCAGUCAUUACUCCACUCUCACAUAAAUCAUAACAAUUUCAAUUUUUUUUCCAAGUAAAAAACUUACAUGGCCAUGGUCUCCAAGGUUGACCACAAAGGCUCCUUCCACAGGUUGGACAGUGAUCCACGUCUUGCCAUUGUCCCGGGUGGCCUGAAGCCCACCAACUUGGUCUUGAAGCAAGA
Molecule: long non-coding RNA, 35319 nt
Filed under: Gossypium raimondii (Peruvian cotton)
Lineage: Eukaryota; Viridiplantae; Streptophyta; Magnoliopsida; Malvales; Malvaceae
Description: long non-coding RNA (GRAI_LNC006182)
Source: RNAcentral